AGGACGAACGCUGGCGGCGUGCUUAACACAUGCAAGUCGAACGGGAUCCGCAAGGAUUCAGUGGCGAACGGGUGCGUAACACGUGAAGAAUUUGUCCAACGGCGGGGGAUAGCCGGCCCAACGGCCGGGUAAUACCGCGUACGACCUUUGAGGGGCAUCCCUCGAUGGUGAAAGCCGCAAGGCGCCGAUGGAGAACUUCGCGGCCUAUCAGCUAGUUGGUGAGGUCAUGGCUCACCGAAGGCGACGACGGGCAGCUGGUCCGAGAGGAUCGACCAGCCACGAUUGGGACUGGACGAC
Molecule: ribosomal RNA, 297 nt
Filed under: uncultured soil bacterium
Lineage: Bacteria
Description: partial 16S ribosomal RNA
Rfam family: Bacterial small subunit ribosomal RNA
Source: RNAcentral